This is a non-coding RNA of Bemisia tabaci, 1204 nucleotides long. NCBI's taxonomy places the organism in Eukaryota, Metazoa, Arthropoda, Insecta, Hemiptera, Aleyrodidae. The record is from RefSeq and is a predicted model, not a curated record.
GAAUACCCGGACGAGUUUCUAGGGUGCUCGCUAUGUUCUGGAAUUCAAACCGGGGUCAAUAGCCGCGCACAGGCCUCUUACUAUUAUUAAGUGCAUCGCAGCUUUUGGUUUGACCGAGUUACAGAACCACUGUCUAUCGAGCUCCUAAGAAAACUAACUGUUAAAACCCGAAAUGCAAAUUCUCCGCCAUUUUGAUCGGCCGCCAUCUUGGAAAGGCUUGAGGACUUUGACAACCUGAUAUCAAAUUCAUCUUUUCCGUGUCAAAUAACCCUGGACUACGGACUUCCAGGCAUUUCCAUCAGCAGAAACCCCUGAAAACCCUUCAGAACAGGGACCCCGCCAUUUUGAUCGGCCGCCAUCUUGGAAAGGCCUUGGAAUUGUGACAGCCUGAUGUCAAAUUCGUCUUUUCCGUGUCAAGUAACCCUCGUGUUAGAGGUUUUCGGUAAUUUCUUUGAUAAGAACCCCUGAGAAACCGCCAAAACUGGUUUCCCGCCAUCUUGUCAAAAAUUGAGAUAUCAACCUGAACUUUGCGCCAAAAAUUUUCUUUUCUUAUUACCUAUCCAACGAUGUGUCACGUGAAAAAGGGUUCCCAUUUGACAAAAAAAGUUAGGGUCCAGAGCCCCCCCCCCCUCCAAAAGGGGGCCCAAAAAUGUUGGGGAGUCAAACAAGUAGUUUACUAUUACACAGGAGCAAUGUCAACAUUUCAAGUCUCUAUAUCUCAAAUCGUAAUGUCAACAUUUCAAGUCUCUAUAUCUCAAUUCAUUCUAAAGUUACACGGGUGUCCUAAGACUUUUGGGUCACCCUGUACACACGGCAAAUUACUGAUUUUCGGCAAAAAAGUAGGAGGAACCAAACAUUUAUGGUAUGUUUGGUUUUCAAAAGAUCCGUGGAAACUACUCUAGUGAGUUUUUGGUAUUGGAAAAUUGCUCAAUAAAUAUAAUGACUGAAUCUUUAGGUGCUCUGUGAGGAUGAUAAUGAGGUAUAUUUUUAAAACCAAAGCGUUGGUAUGAAUUUUCGGUGGAAAAGCAAAAAAUGUCGACAUGUUUUGACUUUGAGAGCAUCAUUACAAACAACUGAAGAGGAUCUCCCGCGAUGCAGAAUAGUUCAAUACAUGUUAUGUCUACAACUUUUAUACUAUGAACAGAUCUCUCAUUCCUUAUCUCACAUUGCUUACUGUAUUCAACAUUAAAGAGCUUGAUGCAAA